This 761-nucleotide ribosomal RNA is filed under the name uncultured soil bacterium. RNAcentral's name for it is "bacterial SSU rRNA". It matches the Rfam family "Bacterial small subunit ribosomal RNA", at positions 8 to 796 of the family's 1533-position model. The record is from RNAcentral.
AGAGUUUGAUCCUGGCUCAGGGUAAACGCUGGCGGCGUGCCUAAAACAUGCAAGUCGUACGGGCAGUCUUCGGACUGUCAGUGGCAGACGGCUGAGUAACGCGUGGGUGACCUACCUGGAAGUGGGGAAUAACUGCCCGAAAGGGUGGCUAAUACCGCAUGUGCUCACUGGUUCAUUCCGGUGAGUAAAGUCGCAAGGCGCUUCUAGAGGGGCCCGCGUCCGAUUAGCUUGUUGGUGGGGUAACGGCUUACCAAGGCGACGAUCGGUAGCUGGUCUAAGAGGAUGAUCAGCCAGACUGGGACUGUGACACGGCCCAGACUCCUACGGGAGGCAGCAGUUAGGAAUUUUGGGCAAUGGGCGAAAGCCUGACCCAGCAACGCCGCGUGGGUGACGAAGGCCUUCGGGUUGUAAAGCCCUUUUCUGAGGGAAGAUGAUGACGGUACCUCAGGAAUAAGCACCGGCUAACUACGUGCCAGCAGCCGCGGUAAUACGUAGGGUGCGAGCGUUGCCCGGAUUUAUUGGGCGUAAAGGGCGCGUAGGCGGCCAGACACGUCACGCGUGAAAUCUCCCGGCUCAACUGGGAGGGGUCGCGUGAUACGGUUUGGCUAGAGCAAGGUAGGGGGAGGUGGAAUUCCCGGUGUAGUGGUGGAAUGCGUAGAUAUCGGGAGGAACACCAGUGGCGAAGGCGGCUUCCUGGACCUUUGCUGACGCUAAGGCGCGAAAGCGUGGGUAGCGAUCCGGAUUAGAUACCCCGGUAGUCC